RNAcentral lists this ribosomal RNA (253 nucleotides) under uncultured bacterium. Its description in RNAcentral is "partial 16S ribosomal RNA". It matches the Rfam family "Bacterial small subunit ribosomal RNA", at positions 524 to 776 of the family's 1533-position model. The record is from RNAcentral.
UACGUAGGGUGCGAGCGUUAAUCGGAAUUACUGGGCGUAAAGCGUGCGCAGGCUGUUUUGUAAGUCAGAUGUGAAAUCCCUGGGCUCAACCUAGGAACUGCGUUUGAAACUACAAGGCUAGAGUGUAGCAGAGGGGGGUAGAAUUCCACGUGUAGCAGUGAAAUGCGUAGAGAUGUGGAGGAAUACCAAUGGCGAAGGCAGCCCCCUGGGUUAACACUGACGCUCAUGCACGAAAGCGUGGGGAGCAAACAGG